Molecule: ribosomal RNA, 254 nt
Filed under: uncultured bacterium
Lineage: Bacteria
Description: partial 16S ribosomal RNA
Rfam family: Bacterial small subunit ribosomal RNA
Source: RNAcentral
UACGGAGGGUGCGAGCGUUGUCCGGAAGUCACUGGGCGUAAAGGGCGCGUAGCGGUUUGGCUAAGCGUGUGGUGAAAGCUUGAAGCUCAACUUCAAAAAUGCAGCAGAAACUAGUAGACUUGAGUAUGGUAGGGGUAGAGGGAAUUUCCAGUGAAGUGGUGAAAUGCGUAGAUAUUGGAAAGACCACCAAUGGCGAAGGCACUCUACUGGGCCAUAACUGACACUGAGAGACGAAAGCUAGGGGAGCAAAUGGG